GAUGAAGAACGUAGCGAAAUGCGAUAAGUAAUGUGAAUUGCAGAAUUUAGUGAAUCAUCGAAUCUUUGAACGCAUAUUGCGCCCGCCAGCACUCUGGCGGGCAUGCCUGUUCGAGCGUCAUUUCAACCCUCCGGCCUCGCGUCUGGCGUUGGGGCGCUGCGGCCCUCCCGCAGGCCCCCAAAUUUAGCGGCGGAUUCCCCGCGGCCCUGAGCGCAGUAGAGAGUAAAAACUUUAACGCUCCGGCGGCCGUGGCGCGGUUCUGCCUCUUUCCCAAUAGCGCCAAUAGCGCCACCCCCAAAAAAGUUGACCUCGGAUCAGGUAGGACUACCCGCUGAACUUAAGCAUAUCAAUAAGCGGAGGA
Molecule: unclassified non-coding RNA, 361 nt
Filed under: soil metagenome
Description: partial contains 5.8S ribosomal RNA, internal transcribed spacer 2, and large subunit ribosomal RNA
Rfam family: 5.8S ribosomal RNA (bases 1-120)
Source: RNAcentral